RNAcentral lists this long non-coding RNA (346 nucleotides) under Pan troglodytes (chimpanzee). RNAcentral describes it as "long non-coding RNA NONPTRT011553". Lineage: Eukaryota; Metazoa; Chordata; Mammalia; Primates; Hominidae. The record is from RNAcentral.
CAGCCCUCCCACUCGGUCUUGUUAUUAGAACUUCAUUGGGAUUCUCCUGGUUCCCCUUUGGGCUGACUGGCCUGAUGCACCCUUUCAAAAGGGCUGCCCAGCCCCCACCCUGAACCCAUCCGUGCUAGCCUCACAGCCAGCCACUUGCAUACUGAUUUGUUGAAGCCAGUUCCUGAGUAAACUGACUCCCGAUGGUUGGUGUAGGAUAAAGAGAGGAAAAUUAGCUGUUACUCCCCAAAGUGUGUGGGAAACGCAUGCACUGUGGCCUCGGAAGCAGCCCCCAACUUGGCUCCCGAUGCUUGAGACUUCUGGCACGCUUCUCAGGCCCCACUUUGAGUUUCAGUUU